This 450-nucleotide ribosomal RNA is filed under the name uncultured bacterium. Its description in RNAcentral is "partial 16S ribosomal RNA". It matches the Rfam family "Bacterial small subunit ribosomal RNA", at positions 354 to 796 of the family's 1533-position model. The record is from RNAcentral.
GUGGGGAAUAUUGGACAAUGGGCGAAAGCCUGAUCCAGCCAUGCCGCGUGUGUGAAGAAGGUCUUCGGAUUGUAAAGCACUUUAAGUUGGGAGGAAGGGCAGUAAGUUAAUACCUUGCUGUUUUGACGUUACCGACAGAAUAAGCACCGGCUAACUUCGUGCCAGCAGCCGCGGUAAUACGAAGGGUGCAAGCGUUACUCGGAAUUACUGGGCGUAAAGCGUGCGUAGGUGGUGGUUUAAGUCCGUUGUGAAAGCCCUGGGCUCAACCUGGGAACUGCCUCCAAAACUGCAUGACUAGAGUACGGUAGAGGGUAGUGGAAUUUCCUGUGUAGCGGUGAAAUGCGUAGAUAUAGGAAGGAACACCAGUGGCGAAGGCGACUAUCUGGACUGAUACUGACACUGAGGUGCGAAAGCGUGGGGAGCAAACAGGAUUAGAAACCCCUGUAGUCC